RNAcentral lists this long non-coding RNA (254 nucleotides) under Elaeis guineensis (African oil palm). RNAcentral describes it as "long non-coding RNA (EGUI_LNC051286)". The record is from RNAcentral. Lineage: Eukaryota; Viridiplantae; Streptophyta; Magnoliopsida; Arecales; Arecaceae.
GACAUUCGCAAAUUUCCUUUCCUUCAACAACCUUUGUUUGAGUCGAGAAGCCCAUUUAUUUUGUUAUUAUACCAGGCAUACAAUUAACGGUAGAGAACACAGAAAAAAAAGAGCCUCUUGGUGCAAGGAGUACAACAUGCAGGGCUUCGAGUAGUUGUAGGUCUUGGAGUUAAGGGUGCCCCCCACCCCCACUUCCAUACCCAGAUCCGUAGCCUGAACCGUAACCAGACCCGUAGCCUGACCCCGAGCCGGNN